GAUAAACCUUAAAGAUAUUGUGGUAUAAUCUUGUUAUUUUCAAUUUUAGAAUAAGUGAAAAACAUGCAGGAACAAGACAAUGCAGAUGAUCGCAUGUGGAAUGAAGAUUCCUAUUUUUCACUGCAAUUGGCAAGCAUGUGUAUUUUCCUUAUUGUAAUGUUGAUAUUUUUGCUGGUGAUCCAGCGAAAACUACGCAUUAAUUUGCAAGCAAGUUUCAGAAACCAGGACCCAGAAUAUUAGACACAGAAAAGAGAAACCAGGGGUGCUUAAGACAUAUUCAGACAAAAAGGACAAAUUUACUUGCAGGAUUAGUGCGUUAAAUGCUUCCAAAUCUAGGAUAAUGUUGAAAUUAAAAAAAUUGCUAUGAAGUUGGAAAAAGAGCAGGUUUACGAACCUGUUGACACUCUAUUCAUUAUAAGGAAACGGGGAACACAUCUAUACAGAUGUUUUGGUUAUGGGGAGCUCCGGGAGAGGUUUAUAAAUGGUGAAGUUCUCACAGACUAUCCCCCGUAUGCUAAUAGAAAGGAACAAUCCAUGCCGGAGGUGGAGAAAGAUACUAAAGUAGAAUUUUUAACACCAGGGAAAGACCCUUUCAGUUUCAGCAGGGGUAGUGCCAAGACCCUUGCUGAAAGACAAAAGGACCAACUAGACAAUUUGCCGAUCAGGAUAGCUCCAGAUGAAGU
Mytilus californianus (California mussel) is the source of this 683-nucleotide long non-coding RNA. RefSeq lists it as uncharacterized. The transcript is spliced from 3 exons. The record is from RefSeq and is a predicted model, not a curated record. NCBI's taxonomy places the organism in Eukaryota, Metazoa, Mollusca, Bivalvia, Mytilida, Mytilidae.